RNAcentral lists this ribosomal RNA (253 nucleotides) under uncultured bacterium. Its description in RNAcentral is "partial 16S ribosomal RNA". It matches the Rfam family "Bacterial small subunit ribosomal RNA", at positions 524 to 776 of the family's 1533-position model. The record is from RNAcentral.
UAUGUAGGUGGCAAGCGUUGUCCGGAUUUAUUGGGCGUAAAGCGAGCGCAGGCGGUCUUUUAAGUCUGAUGUGAAAGCCCCCGGCUUAACCGGGGAGGGUCAUUGGAAACUGGGAGACUUGAGUGCAGAAGAGGAAAGCGGAAUUCCAUGUGUAGCGGUGAAAUGCGUAGAUAUAUGGAGGAACACCAGUGGCGAAGGCGGCUUUCUGGUCUGUAACUGACGCUGAGGCUCGAAAGCGUGGGGAGCAAACAGG